AGCUGCCACUGCUCUGCCGAACAGCCGCAGGGGUGGUGAAAGGCCAUGACAGCUCACCAGGUGCCAGAGGUUUGCGCAUAUUUUCAAAUAUCACGUUUCAAACAGAGGUGUGAGUGGAGGUUUUGUCACUUCAGUCAAGCCACAAAUGAGCCAAGAUUCUGCACAGGGCACUUGUGAGUUCCAUGAUGGGAGAGCACCCUGAGAGCUGUGAUGGACAAAAACGAUUGGAAAAAGGGGGGAGAGGACAGGUGGGACAUAUUGCAUCCUGAAAGGCGCACCAGUCCAAGAAAGGAUCGAGAGGCUGUGAGAGCUCUCAAACAAACCCACUGACGGUUUUUGCCUGAGCACUUGGACGGACUCGAGGAAUGUGCACCUGCUCUACCGCUCAAUUCCUGCAGCAGCUCAUGUGCAAAAAGGGAAGAAAGACUUAACUUUGAAGGUAACAGAGCACUGGAAUAGGCCGCCCGUGGAGGUGCUGAAGUCUGCUUCUCUGGAGGUAUUCAAGACCUCCCCCAGUCAACUUUCCCGUGCAACCUACUGAACGGAACCUGUGCUAGCAGGGGGUUGGGCUUUAGCGGUCCCUCCGAAUCUGUACGAUUCUGUGAUUCUCACCAUUUAGGUGGGACAGAGGAAUCCUUCCCUCCAAGCCCUGCACCUGACCCACGCUCCUUGCCAAGCAACAGCCCGAGGUCCCCACGUGCCGCAGAGCACGCCGGCACCGCUCAGCACCAACCGCUGCAGGAGCCAACGGCUCCCGGGGCAGGAAAAGAGAAAGAAGCGGGAAGCGCGGGGAGCCCUCAGCUGUUAGCAGGGCGGGAGCGGCUCCGUAACUGCUAACGGAAAAGUCACUGCUGCUUUUCGCUCCGACGGGAACUUCUCCCGAACAAGUAACCACGCUGAGUUCUGAACGCGACACCGAAGAGAUGAGGACUUCACAACGCUCCGUGCCCCCCACGCGAAGCGGAGCUGCGGAGGAACGAGCGCUGCCUGCCCGCCCGCCCACCGCGCUCCGUUCCCUCUGCCCGAGCCCCGCCGCCUCCCGCCGAGCGCGGGGUUCAGGCCCGGAGCUGCCCCAGGCGGAGAUCCCACGCCCGGUUCCGGCCGCGUCCCGCAGCGAACUCCGCCGGGCGGCCCGCUCGGCCCCAGGGCUUCUCGUCCGUUCCUCCCGGCUACAAGGAGGCGGAGGGCACAGUCCUCCAGCUAGGAACUGCUGCAGACCUGACAGGUGUAUGGGAGGCCAGCAAGCAGCUCCUGUGGGUCAGUCUUCAUGGAAGAUUACAGCUGGAAGCUGGGCAACCAAAGCUUGACCAGCAGUAGUGAAGGUGAACACAGUGGGAAUGAGAAGUUUUUAUAAGAGUUGUGGGUGUGUCCUGCCUUUCCCACACCACUAUAUCCAGCAAACACAGAGCUGGGUGCUGCAAAGUCCCAUACAAGGCAUCCAGGUAUCUCAAGCUGUCAGGUCCCUCACGAGAUAAGGACAUGAAUUCCAUGGUGGGACAUCCCUCCUACAAUGGAGAAUUUGCACAAUUGGAAUACAGCAUUGGAGAGAGAGCAAAUUCCCCACGUCUGCUGGAUAAAAUGUUAACUCUGAAGGAUAGUGAUGUCUGUGUAAACGGUGUUUGUUUGGAUACUCCAAGCCACGUUUACACUCUGGUGUGCCAGAAUGAACCUUUGGCUUACUGACCUUCCUCUUUCUCCUGCAUGCAACCCUUUGUGCUGUGCCAGCACACUGUGUAUGCUGGAGCUGGGAGUUAGAUGACAACUAGCUCAGAGGAACAGUAUUUUGUUUUCAGAUAGAUUGCUUUCAGGAUUUGGUGGCAGCAAGGAUACACAAACAGGUACAGUUUAGGGGCAGCAGAAUCCAGCAGAGAGAUGGACACAAACAGUAUGAGCUGGACCUGGUAUCAGGAUGAUACAACAAGGGAAUAAGGGACCAGCACCAUGCCAGAAACUUCCAUGACCACACCUGGCUGCACUCCUCUCACUCCAACCCAUGCAGGAUAGAGAAGCAGGAAAGGGGACAGGUGAGAGUAGAAACUCAUUUUUGGAUUCUCCUUCUCCCUGCUGCCACAGCAACACAGAGGAAACAAGGUGGUUCUGCUUGCAUCACUUUGGUUGCCUUACAUGCCGUCCAUUAUGCUGGUGCAGCUCUCUGUGCAGUUAUGUAGUCAGUCAGAUCUAGAAAUGGCUUAAAAAAACCCAGCACCUUCCUCAUCCCCAUUAUUUUCACUCUGGCUCAGUGCCCAGGUAUGAUUUUACCCCAUCUCUGCAGAGGUGCAGCUGGAGCAAGAGCAUUGGAGGGGGAAAGAAGCAAGGGGCAUAGGGAUCUGCUUAAAUACACAGUGCCCCCUCCCCCACAUGGCCCAUGGCACAGUCCCUGGAGGAGAGAUUCUUGCUCAACAACCACAGGCAAUGUAUUUGUCAAAAUUAGGGAGAUCAAGAAAGAGGAAAUAAAGGUUGAAUCCAUGCAGGCACGUGCAGUAUUUGCAUACUGUUUUCCUCCGCAAAACAUAAAAGGAAGCCUGAAUGUAAUCAUGUUAGGAAUGCUCCCUUUCCCCUCCCAUUUAAUCUAAGCAUUAUGUGUGACAUUCUCCUCAGAGUAUAAGACAGCAACCCUGCAGACCGCUUAAGCAGGGACGUUGCCUUUAACACCUAACUGUUCCUGCUGAGGUCAGUGGCAGCACUUGCAUGUUUAUAGUUACACAUGCUUAAAUACUUUGUUAGGUCACCAGCUAAUUUAAGAACAGAGAAGCACAGCUUCAGAAGAGAAAAAUAGGUUAAUAAUGCUGAAGUUGCAGCAAAUUGUAGGAAAACUGGAAUAGGUUCAUCAUUAGUGAAUCUCUGCUAUUCAAAGGAAAUUUUUCACCUUUUUGGGUCCUGCUCACUGCCUUGCAUUCCUGAUGAUCUGUGUGUGCGCAGCAGUUUUAGAAGCUUGUUAGACUGAUCAUCAGACCUUGACCUGAUCUUAUCAGUGAACUCAGGUAAGGUUUUAGACUUGAAAUCCCUUUAUCUUAAACCCUGAAGUUUUAUUCACUUUUUCAUGAAGUUAGUCUAAUGAAAAAAACCUGUAUCUUUUAUCUUUAGCCUGUCACAGCUGCAGCACAGUGUAUCUGUAAGAGGGCUAUAAGCAGCCUGUCAUCAAGGCUAUGCUGAUCCUGUCAGCUUUACCCUCACGCCCCAGGGCUGGCUGGUGUCUUGGAGCACCCUGCACCCCAGCAGCAGCGUGGUAUCUCAGUUUUUGCAGAGAAGUUGGGUAAGAGAAACUUGCCAAGAAACCCUCUAUUCAGCUGACCAAAGCAGAAGCUGCAAUACUACGGUGCAACACUUGGAUACUAGGUUUGAAUUCAGGGACAUAGAAGAAAUGGGUAAGCACUUUCUUUGCAAAAUAGCUCCAACAGGAGGUCUGCAAGCCCCAGCGGCUUGUAAAGCAGAGCUGGACAGCAGAAGGCACCCAAGAACCGACGCAUUUUUUUGUUUCAUGGCCUCCUGUCAUUCCUGAAACACUUUCUCUGGGACUCAGGGAAGACACACAAUAGUUUUGCUUUGGCCAACAACUAUAUUACAAUGUUCAGGGCACCUACCUUCCUAAUGGAGGGAAUUAGAUGCUAGUAUCUCAGUGAUUGUAGCAUGGCCCUGUUCAGCAACUCCCGGGUAGUUGCUUUCCAAUAUGAUUCAAUGGAGAACAAAAAACCCUCAGUAGAAAGAUGUGGGGUUAAGACUUCUCUGGCAACAAAACUGAGUAAUCUCAAUCACUACCUUCAAAAAUGUGUGCCCUUGGGCCCUGGCCAGCCAUCCACUCUGUCAACAUCUUUACUGCCAACUUUACUCACAGGGGCACGAAUGUAAAUCUAGUGUGAGAAAAGGAUUAAGCCCAUUCUGAUUUUUAUGGCCUAUGAAAUGUGUGCUGCUUUGCUGUUACUACACAGUGGUAAACAAUACAGAAAAAGGGGAUUCAGGCUGGUAUUGCAUAUUUAAAAUUUCUAAGGAAAAACAUGUAAUCCUAGAUACUACCAACCAGUGCAGUGUAUACAAGGUUUCUUCUAAGUCAGAAGCUAAAAGCCUGUACCUUGCCAGAUGCUGGUUGAGGUAUGCUACUUUUCUCCUGCAAAAUAAGAUUAGCAACACCAAUUUUCCAUGCAUUCAAGUUUGGCAUUUUCUCUGCAAGGAGAUUAAAGCCCAGGCAAACACAAAUCUGCCUGGAUACUGCCCUGCUCUGUGUGUAGCUCUCACUUGGGAUGAGUCCUGUGCUGUUCAGGAAUCCCACUAAAAUGAGUAUUUCUUCACUGAUGAUUCAGUUGGCUGAGAUUUGCAAGAAGAAUGGAGAGAAUUAGAUGCUAGCUUCUUAAAUUUCAGUAGGAAAUGUGUUCCUGACUCCUUUAGGUUGAUGUUUUCAUACAUAUACAAAGACUGAAGAAGGUUCUUUUACUAUGAUAUCUAUGAUUGGAGAUUUCAGGCAAUAUCUUUUGAGUCUAGAUUUCAUAGCAGAACCUCAAUGCAAACACUAGUAAGCAAUUGUCAGGACUAUUACUAGUGUAACUCCAUAGAGUUGUCAGCAGAAAAGCAUCUGAGCUAAGUACUUGUUCAUUAAAGGUGCAGAACAAUGAGUAUAUAUGCACAUGCCUGAAAAGCAGACAAUAUUUAUAAUGAAUCCCGGGGCAGAAGAUACAAAUAAUUUAUUAUUUUUAAUUCACUACCCUUAUUAUUUUCUGAUUUAAACUGUUUUCUAGAUGAAAAGUCUCAUUGAGUAGCUCAGGUAGUGUGAAGUUGCCGUUGUGUAUAGCGGAACAUUUUCUGUACAACUGUGACUUUUUCUGAGUCCUCUCAGCUCCAAUUUUGUGCAGAGCAGACUGAAAAUCAGCACGUGGAGCAGUGAUCCCCUGUUUUGGUACUUAGUGCUGUUUGUGUUGGCAUCCUGGAUAUAUUUACUGAACUGUCAUCUGUUAUAGAUGAUAUGGGACAGCUCUGAUGUUUUGAUAAGCAUUGACUGGGAGCAUCACACAGAGUCUUUAAAUUGUUCCUUCAUUUACACACCCAUCUAUUUUGAAAGCUGCUUUAUAGGCUGUGUCCUCUCCCUUAAGCCCAGUGAGAGGUUUCCAAGCUACUGAACCUUCUGCAGCAGUGCAGGAAGCCUCCAGCUCCUGAGUAAAUGGCUUUAUAUUGAUUGGCAAAUAGUUUUCCUGAAACCAAAUGAAAUGUGUGCUAAAUAAGAGGCUAUUGCAUUUUCUGACUGUGUCAGACUCUCCCUGCAGCAUGGCCCAGUCCACCUGGCAGUGUCAUCCUCCCCAUGACAAACCCAGCUAUUUUUGUCUGCUGAGGCCCUAUUACCAGGCAUGGGGGAAUUACUGCACCACCAAAGCUCUGCUUCACAGAGGGCACUGGUCAGUGCUGUGCCAACACACACCGCGUGCCUCUUUUCUCCAUCUAUUUCUCCAUACAGCUUUGGGAUCCUUGUGAAGGACCACACAGUUCUCCUCCCACCCCCCAGGUGCAGAUCAUGUCCCAGCUUUGGUCACCAUCUCCCCAGUCUCUGUCCCUUGUUUUGCAAAAAUAAGUAUUUUUUCUGGAUUCAAUUUCUGCAGAAUAUCUACUGACAUGCAGGCCAGCACAGUGCUUUGUUAUUUAUCACAUGUACUGCUGGUGUUGGAAAAAGCAAUCUCAAACAAGCACACCUUGCAGGCGCGAGGGAAACUUCAUGAUGAUCAUAGUUCUGGAAUGCAUUAUUAUGAGGGUUUGUAGUGUUGAGUGUGUCAUUCGAGGUGCCUGUGCCCAUUGCUGCUGGAGGUGGGCAGAGGUGAGACAAGCCCCAGCUUCUGAUGGUUGAAGCCAUGCAUGAGCUUUGCUGGGGUUUGAUGGCUGGGGUCAAAAUGGUCCCAAUGGAUGGCCAGAGCAAGAGGGCGGAGGAGCUCCCAGCAGAGAAGAAGCUCAUACAGAUGAGAAGGAGCAGAUGAAACAUAGGCAUGAAGAACAAAGAAAUCCUGGCAGAGGAUGUGGCUCUGGUAGAGAGGAUGGUUAACACAAGACCUCGCUGCUGCUUCUUCCCUACCAUCUCCAGCCAGCUGGUCUUCACCUCUUCACCACUGGACUGGCACUUCUGGAAUUCAUAUAUCUCAGCCUAAAUGAGCCAACGCAUCUGAAAAAUGGCCCUGAGGAAGGCAUGUGGGUGGUUUUCUGUUGAGUGACCAGAUUCAAUGCAUGGGACCAUGGCUGACAGCUCAGAAAAGGAGGAGCAGGGCUGCAGCUCAUGGCAGCUCUACCCAUGCAGGUAAGUGUGAGCCACUUCUGUAUCUAAGCCAGGCAGCCACAGAGAUGGGAUCCCAUGCUGAACUAUCACAGCUGUGCCACAUAGGGUCAUACAAUAGCUCGGGUUGGAAAAGACCUUAAACGUCAUCAAAUCCAACCCUCCUACAUCAGAUCUAGUGAUGGGAGGCCCCAGAAUGGGUCAUGUCAACCAGCAGACACAACAGAAAACUGCUGUCUGUGAAGGUACUUUUUGGGAUGCUUUCUGAUUAAUCUGAUCUGCUUUAAUGAACAAAUUAAUCACAUGGUCAUGUCAUCACAAGGUGUAAUAUGCAUUGUUUUAUACUAUGUCUAAGAAUGUCUGCUUGCUUGCAGCUCCCUUUUCCCUCCCCAUGGCAUGUGUGGCUGUGCAGAACUCAUUGACCACACUCAGGGAGAUAAAGCAACCAACAGAGAAUAACAUCAGAGUCUGGCUUGGCUGGUUUAGCUCCCUGACUCAAAGUGGAAAUCUUAACUGGAUUCACCAGUUCAAUGAGCUGAGCUGUACCCUGAAGCCAUCCCUCCAGUGUGGCCAGGCUCAGGAGGAAGAGAGUGGGACCACAGCAAGACCUGCAAUGCCAGCCAGUGGGAGGAUACCAAAGAUGAUGACAAGAUGUGCAAUGAACUGGAUGUGCCGCCUGCCUGGGAUGAGAAGCCAGGUCAAGGUUUCACCGGUAAUACAAGAAAGGCUGCAGGCAGACAUGCAUAAGCACAUUGUAUUUCUAUAAAUAUUACUUGAUAUAAGGAGACAUCUCAUUAUGAGGCUUGACUCUUGCUUGUCUAAGCAAAGGAAUGCUGGAUGUGGGACAGCAUGUGCUCGUUGAAGCAAUGAGAUUGCUCAUCUGUCCCUGAGAAAGCUCUGGGUGACACAGAGAUUCUUUUAUUCCUCUGCUACCACGGACCAAAACAAAUCACUCUUCUAUGGAAGGCAAGAUCCCCAUCUUCCAGGAUGCUCCUGGAGCUUCAAACGCUGCCAGGACACAGGCACUGAAGACAUCAGGAAUAUUACGGCUGUGUUAAGGAGGGGCUGCCGUGGCUCGUAUAGAAACGAGUGCCUCAUUUCCAAAAAAGCAAAUGCAAUUGAACAAGCAUAAGAAUCCUGGUGUCUGCCGCAGCUUCUGCGGUUUGCAGAAGCAACACUGACAUCUAGCGGGGCAAGCUGAAAUGCUCAUCAGAAUGGUUAGGUUGGAAGGGACCUUACAGGACAUCCAGUCCCACUCCCUACCGUGGGCUGAUUGCCUCCCACCAGCUCAGGCUGCCCAGGGCCUUGGACACCUCCAGGGAUGGGGCACCCACAGCUCUGUGCAGCAGUGCCAGGGCCUCACCACUCUGAGUAAAAAAAUUCUUUCUAACAUCUAAUCUGAAUUUCCCCUCUUAUUUUAAAGCCCUUCCACCUUUAUCCUAUCACUAUUAGGCUGUGUGAAUCACAGUGAUCACUCUGGGCUAGCAAGUGAUGAGCAUUCAGGAGCAAUUUAUUGAAGCAGGAAUUGCUACCACUGGAACUAGCUGUUGGAAAUGCCUCUACAAAAUGUUUUGAAGGUGUAUCCCAAUAUUUGUAAAUGGCAUGUGACCCCAAGUUUCUCCAUUCAGGAAGGGAGGACAGACUGAAGACCAGCCCUGCUGUGUUUGAAACAUCAUGGAAUCAAACUUUCUUGCUCUAGCCUUAAAGCUGACAGCAACAGAAGAAAGUGAUUUUUGGCUGGUUUGAACCAUUGCAUGCUUGCUUAAGUGCAGAAUAACAGCAUGCAAUAUGCACCAUCCCCUUGCAAUCAUGAAAACAUGAGAGACAGGAAUUUUUAUCUGUGCUGCCUUGUGUGCUUUAAAAGAAUGAUUUGACGUGAAGCUGGAGCAAAAGAGAAGUUACAGGGAGGGGUGUUUCCCUGGAAAUCUUAAAAAGCAGUAGCUAGUUUUAUAGUCCAGAUAAGAACCAUGUGGAAGUGAAUGGAAGCUUAGAAACAUGUGCAAGACUAUGCUGGGAAAGUCCACUGUGAUGGCACCAGGAUUACUCACUUGGCUCAUGCCAUCACGUGUGUAGCCUUUCAACUACAUUAACUCCCUACUGGUUUAAUUUGUCUCCAAGAUCUGAAUUCCCUACCAGAAAAAUGGAGAGAGAAGAAGCUUUCAGGGGCAGCACCAGAGGUUCCCCAAGGAAAGGUGACCAUGGGGCUGCAAUGAUGGGGAUGCCAGUCUCCCACAGGCUGUGCAAAGAACACGACCCAGCAAUACAUGAAAACUCUGCCUUGUUUUUGCUUUGAAUUUGGUGAUAUGCAGAAAAGAAUGCCUAGUUUUCAUUUAUUUCAGGAAAUUUUUUGAAGAUUUCUAUGUCUGCAAAGAAUAUUUAUAAAAUAUGAAGAUUUUGAACAAAAAAUACUUCCUAUAUUCAAUCAAGGCCUUCAGUAAUGAUUUCUGUUACACAAUAAGCUAAAGCAUUCCGCAGUUCAACUUUGCUCAUUAAAACCCAACACAAAUAGAAAACACAGAUUGAUCAGGAUUACUUUGGUGUCCAGGUUAAAUCUCAAGGUAAAUACUGGACUCAUUUUUUCUACUCAGGGAGUGUAUUAGAUAGGCAAUAAAACCUCGUGUCCUCUUCCAUUACUGCAGCAAGAUCUCAGACCGUAUAAGGUCCUAUGAGGGGGCAGAGGGGGUGGGAUGUCAGUGCAAGGAAGGAUGCUGCACCCACCUCAUCAUACACCUUCUUUUGUUUGCCUUUGCAGUUGGAUGCUUUGUUAAGGCUUUAUAGGGAUACUGAAACUCAGCAUCAUCUCUAAGGGCAGACUGAUAUUUCACACUUACCAUAUAUGCUUUUGUAUGCAUUUUCUGUGGUCAGAAACCCAGCAGACGUGCACACACUGGCACCAUUCUCUGCCCAGCACAAACGUGAAAGCUGGAAGCCCUUCUGCCCUUCUGUGUGUGCCAGCUUGUGCCUUGCAGGUCACAGCAGCCUGCAGGCAGCCUUGAGUGUUCAGUCCCACCCCUUUUUUCCACUAAUGCUAUUGUUCAGCUCACAAAUACAGGGCUCCUGAUCCUUCCACACAGAACAAAGUGCCUGUGCCAAUAACUGAGUUCCCUGUCAAGAGUCAGGAGAUCUCUCCUCUUCCCUGCUUGAGGUGACCAAGCAGCAGUGCUCUUUUGUGUUUAUUUACCAUCAAUGCCUUAUUUUCAACCCCACCAUGUGCCCAUAGAACACAAUAAGUAGGGAAUCCUCACGUCAAUCAGGAGUUUUGAGGAUGAGAACAUCACUUAGCUUGACACUUCGGGCUAUCUACAUCCUAGGUGCUGUCCUUCAUGACUCUGGUGCCCCAUGUGGGUGAAACUUGCUUGUAAAUGCCACAUUUUGGGGAAGGACAUGAAGCUGUUGUGCAUCCAGUGCCUGAGGUGUUGUGACAGGCAUAGGAAAACAUGAGGGCUUUGCCCUAUGCUCCUUCCUGCACUGACAUUUUGCAGGUGGGUGGUGGCAAGGUUUGCUGAAUUCCCACAGCUGGAUGCACAUCAUACAUGUGGCCUUUAGGGAGAUGUAUUUGCUUGCAUGAGUUCAUGAUUUAGCAGAUGUCCAACCCAGCUGCAGCUCAGCAUGGUGUUCCCCUUCUCCCUGUUUCCAGGCUGGAUGUGGCCCUGGGCAGCCUGAUCUGGUGGUUGGUGACCCUGCUCAUAGCAGGGGGGUUGAAACUGGGUGAUCAUUGUGGAUCUUUUCAACACAGGCCAUUUUGUGAUUCAAUGAUUCUAUGAUUCUGUGAUUCUAUGAUUCUACCUCUGCCCCACUGAAUUCAAACUCUUUGAUCUGUGUGUUCACCCACAAUUUAUAAGUAAAUGUAAAUGAGUAAAUGCAAAUGACAACACAAUACAAUUUGAGCACAUGGCUGCAAAGACCUUGACAUUGUGAAAAGCAAGCCUCUGGCAAAUGGGUUAUAACUUCACAUUGCAAAGAUUACAUGCCAUUUAGAUAAGAACAUGCCACCUAUUCUAUUACUCUGUAUAAUGGCUUGAGUUUAAUCACUGAUAUGCUGAGAGGAGCUAUGCCUUCACUCCAGCCCUUGAAGUAAACCUGCUGCUUGCAAAGAUGUGAAUGGUCCCAAAGAAGUGGAACCAUGUGCUGUCCCCUCUCAGCCUUUCUAAAGACACAGACUUUCUUACAUUUUUAUGACCUGCCUCACUCCACUGCCAUUUGCUUGUUUCCCCAAUCCAAUGGAUUUCCUCAUUCUUUUCAAGAGAUGCAGAAGUUAUCCUCAAAAAGUGACUGAUGAUAUCCAGAGCUGGGUUACAGCUUUGAGCCAGCGCCCUUCCUGAGCUCUGCCAAGGCACUGAUUUAUUGUGCUUCAGAGCCAUGGCAUGAUGAGGAUUAAAAUCAAUUGUACAGAUGACGCAUGGGCUUUGCUUCCCAGGCUCUGGACAGCUGGGUCUACAGUAUCUUCUGCAUUUAUUUAAACAGGUGGCAAGCAAAAUAAGACAAACUCAUUCCAUGCUCUUUUAAUUCUCUGAAAUAGAUCUAAGCGAUUUUACUGUUUACACAGCAUAUAUAUAACAGUCAGUGAAGGAAAACAAAAUGUUGUUCUUUGGACAAAUUAUUUAACAUGUUUGUAAGUUUCCUAUUUGUAGGAAAUAGUAUGCAUUCCUAAGUCCUGUAAGUAAUAGCGACUGGCCUUUAUUGCAAUCUAGAACACAGUUGCCCUGUGUGAGACCCAACUGGGGCCUGCAGCUCAGAUGCACACCCUCCUGCUUGGCACCACAUUCCCAUGUCAUCAGAUUGGGAUUUCCUGCCUGGGAUUGUGCAUCACCUUCUUUAAAGUCACUGCAUGCAUACUGUAUCUACUCUCAUGUGUGAGCAGCAAAGUGCAGGAAAGUAGAGAAGGGAACUGAGACAUCAUUCAGCGCAUGAACUCUUCAAGUCUCCAUUGCCAUUUCAAUUGUCUUACUGUGCUGUAGAUACAUUUUUAACUACAGAAUUUGACUCAUGUACAAACACUGAAAAUAUCUGGCCACUGAGAGAACCUUUUUCAGCUGUAUC
Tympanuchus pallidicinctus (lesser prairie-chicken) is the source of this 11278-nucleotide long non-coding RNA. RefSeq lists it as uncharacterized. The transcript has 3 exons. The record is from RefSeq and is a predicted model, not a curated record. Lineage: Eukaryota; Metazoa; Chordata; Aves; Galliformes; Phasianidae.